This is a non-coding RNA of Moniliophthora roreri, 107 nucleotides long. NCBI's taxonomy places the organism in Eukaryota, Fungi, Basidiomycota, Agaricomycetes, Agaricales, Marasmiaceae. The record is from Rfam.
GCUUCCUUGGCUCAGUUGGCUAGAGCGCAGGUCUCAUAGCAAGUCUAUGACGUAGAUAUAUGAUCUAUGUAAUCCUGAGGUCGCAAGUUCGAGCCUUGCAGGGAGCA